GAUGAACGCUGGCGGCGUGCCUAAUACAUGCAAGUCGAGCGAACAGACGAGGAGCUUGCUCCUCUGACGUUAGCGGCGGACGGGUGAGUAACACGUGGAUAACCUACCUAUAAGACUGGGAUAACUUCGGGAAACCGGAGCUAAUACCGGAUAAUAUAUUGAACCGCAUGGUUCAAUAGUGAAAGACGGUUUUGCUGUCACUUAUAGAUGGAUCCGCGCCGCAUUAGCUAGUUGGUAAGGUAACGGCUUACCAAGGCAACGAUGAGUAGCCGACCUGAGAGGGUGAGCGGCAACACUGGAACUGAGACACGGUCAAGACUCCUACGGGAGGCAGCAGUAGGGAAUCUUCCGAAAUGGGCGAAAGCCUGACGGAGCAACGCCGCGUGAGUGAGGAAGGUCUUCGGAUCGUAAAACUCUGUUAUUAGGGAAGAACAAAUGUGUAAGUAAAUAUGCACGUCUUGACGGUACCUAAUCAGAAAGCCACGGCUAACUACGUG
RNAcentral lists this ribosomal RNA (497 nucleotides) under uncultured bacterium. RNAcentral describes it as "partial 16S ribosomal RNA". It matches the Rfam family "Bacterial small subunit ribosomal RNA", at positions 28 to 507 of the family's 1533-position model. The record is from RNAcentral.